GUUGCUUUGGCGGGCCCACCGGGGCCACCUGGUCGCCGGGGGACGCACGUCUCCGGGCCCGCGCCCGCCGAAGCGCUCUGUGAACCCUGAUGAAGAUGGGCUGUCUGAGUACUGUGAAAAUUGU
RNAcentral lists this ribosomal RNA (124 nucleotides) under uncultured Penicillium. RNAcentral describes it as "5.8S ribosomal RNA". Lineage: Eukaryota; Fungi; Ascomycota; Eurotiomycetes; Eurotiales; Aspergillaceae. The record is from RNAcentral.